ACAAUUAAAAAACCUAGUUCAAUUCAUGUAACUUCAUCAGUUGAGUUUUAAAAAAAUACUUUUUUUAUUUGACAGGUAAAGUCAUAGACAGUGAGAGAGAGAGACAAAGGUCUUCCUUCCAUUGGUUCACUCCCCAAAUGGCCGCUAUGGCCAGCACUGCGCCGAUCAGAAGCCAGCAGCCAGAUGCUUCCUCCUGGUCUCCCAUGCGGGUGCAGGGCCCAAGCACUUGGGCCAUCCUCCACUGCCCUCCUGGGCCACAGCAGAGAGCUGGACUGAAAGAAGAGCAAUCAGGACUAGAACCCGGAGCCAUAUAGGAUGCUGGUGCCACAGGCGGAGGAUUAACCAAGUGAGCCACGGUGCUGGCCCCAUCAAUUCAUGUUUGUUACUAUGGCUCAAAGAGAAAAAAUACUUACUACAGAUGAGGUCCUUUUUUUUUAAUCAACAAUUCAACCUAUGAAAUUUCACUGUAAUAUGAACUAAGAAAAAAUGAACUUUUGGGACUACUGGUUUAUGCACUUGAGUGCUGGCACUAAAUUUUCAGUUUGUCUGCCUCACAAAUAAUAGGGAAGGAGACAGAAAACAAAUGAACUUGAAAUUUCAUGUGCUGAUUAACUCUCCACAUGGCUACAGCAUUUGGGUUGGGCUGAGGUUGAAGCUAAGCACUGGGAACUCAAUCCAGGUCUCCCAAGUAGGUGGCAGGAAUCCAACUGAGCUAUCACCUGGCUUCCUGGGGUCUGCAUUACCAGGAAGCUGACAUCAUGGGCUGGGGCUGACAUUCCAACCUAAGUACUCCAAUAUGGAAGGUGGACAUCUUUACUGGUGUCUUAAUUGCUAGGCCAAACACUCAUCCUAGCAUUACAUUUUCAAUAGAGAAAAAAGAUUCCCUUAUUUAACUGUAACAAAUUAAUGCAAAAAGUGCUUCAUAUCAGUAUACAUAUUUUUCCAUUUAAAAGAUGAGACCAAGCAUACAAAAAAGCUGAAUAUUGAAGGAGACCACAAUUAAAUAAUAAGAAACAGCAAAGGAGGGAGAUGGUAGAAGAAGAGAUGAAGUGGAUUGAAAUGUGUCUCAAGUUGUUGCCCAGAGACAAAGAAUGAUUUGUUACCUGAUGCCCACUGUACUACUGAGAACAGAGACAGGAAGCUAAUGUUCUACAAUUUUUUUCCUCUUUUUUUGUAACUGCAAAGAUGUAUGCUGAAGGCAGCAUGGAUGGACACAAACAUGAACGAGACUGGCCCUUGCUAUGGUAAGUUCAUAACCUAACAGGGACUAAGACUGGAGGUAGUGGUGGUCAUGGGGGUAAGCAAGUAUAUUAAUAAAUGUUAUAAUGCAGGAACAAAGUACUGGAGACACUCAGAGGUAUAUCAUUUUUAUGUAGUUCAGUGGCAGGGGUCUUUGCAUUUGAUUUGGGUUUUGAAUGAACAAGAUUUCAACAGAAGGGCCAUCUAGCAUGGUGCCUUGUACCUAGUAAAUAAUACUUACUGAACAGUUGAAACUGAUGGAGGAUUUAAAUGAAAAAAGGUAGAGUGAAAAAAGGCAGAAAUGUCAACAGUGAGUUAUAAUCUUAUGAUAAUCUAGUCAUGCCAUUUUUUUUGUGCUGUGUCUAAUUUUAACAUGAAAGUUAAUGAGUUUGAACAUGAUUUGAUAGAGAAAAUGUUCUUCAAGGUUCCAUUUGUAAAGGCGGUUGGUCCUCCUGCAUCUCCUCCCAAAACAUACACAUGGACUAUAAGCCUUGGACAAAUAAACCCAAGUAAAACUACCUGGAGGCACUGAAGAGAGGCCAAAAGAAGGUGGGUACUAGUGGUAAAAGUGUACAUCUGGAUGAAGGGAAUGCCUGAAUUUUCUAUUCUUUUCCUCAAGCUUUUAGCCUGAGGACAGGCAGUAGCAGUAACUGAAAUUUAGAGAGAAAGCUGUACUCUUACUGGCUUGAAAACCAAGAGAACAGAGAGGAUGGAAAUUGAAUGGAGAAAACCUAACAGUGGGAGCCCCAAAUAUUGUAAAUAAAUUCUGCCCAAAUCUGAUUUGUGGAGUGGAUUCAAAAUAGCUUCAAUAAAGAUUUGAGGAGCCUUCAUAGCUAGGCUGUUUCCACUGUUGGUUUGACUCCAUCUUUUGCAGGGGAGCGCAUGGGAAUUAGUUAUUAAACUCUGGCUGCAUGGCAGUAUUUCCAAUGACACUCCAAGUUCCUAAGCACGAUGGGUGGCUCCUGACCUCUGCUGAUAAUGGAAUGGCAAGGGAAUAGAUCUUCCACUGAUCUGUAUUGUCAAAAGCUAAUUUCAAAGCAGUCUUAUUUUUAACAUGCCUUACCCUUUUAUUGCCUCAGGAUCAUGUACUUAAGCAAAUAUUAGACAAGCCAAGUUAUGGGAGGAUAAGCGAAUAAGGAGUUUUUUACCAGACGGCCUAAGACAGUCACCCACAUGUCACCACUGUACACACUCAGAAUCCAGGGCUCCAGUUUCCUUAGUAAUUCUCAGUAUCAGUCAUUUAAAGGACUCCAUAAUCAACACCAAUCUCAGAGUUUCAAUAGCACCAAAGCCCACUGAAAGAGAUAAUAAUAGAAUCCUGGAGAGGAGGAAGCAAUGCAUCCUAGAGACAGAACAAGACAAGAUGGAUUCUUUCACAUUAUGGAUCAUCCCUCAGAGGAAGCUGGGAGCCAUACUUCACUCAGUUAAGGUGCCCUAAGGAAAAAGAACCUGCAAGAAAUGGUGUUACAUGGCAACUUGGAAGGCCGAGUCCUAGGCACCAAGAUUUUUAUAUCUGCUAACAGGCUUGUCUCCAACAUCUCUGAUAGGAAAGGGGAGCUCAAGGCAGACAAAGGUGUCAGCCAUGACAACCAGAGACUGAAGGACAAAAACCUUAUAUCUGUUUUAGGAAGGAAAGUCUCCUGUAUUUGGUCCCACCGUAAAGAAAACAAGGGUACCAACAAAGUAGCAAAUUUGAUUUCCUAGCAGCUGGCACAAUGAGGACUUUUAAGGUGAGCUUUAAUUUUAUCUAUAAAUAAAUAAGCAUACCUCAGUUUGAAGUCUAAGAAUCAUACUAGGUACUUAAGUUAAAAUAUUCUUCUGAUUCCUCUUGUAGACAGAUCAUUGUCAGAUUUAAGUAUUUCCUGUGUCUUCUGAACAGUGUUCCCAGUGUGUCAUUUAGUUUAUCUGUAAAAUCAAGGUGUAGCACCUAUUUUUCCAGUAGACACAGAUCGCAGGUAUGUGAAUCAAAGUACAGGCAGUGGUAGAGAUAUGAAAUUCCUCUGAACCUUUUUGUAUCUGCUGUUACUGCUCUGUUUCCCAAAGUAAAGCAUGGAAAGGUCAUGCGGAUGGCUCACUUUCCCCAUCUGACUCCACUGGGAAUUCCUCCCAGAUUCUGGCAGUUGUUUUCAGUCUUGGAUUACAAAGCUAUUAUUAGUUUUUACUUUUUUUAAAAUAGAUAUUAUAGUAACUGGGUAGAAGAGAAUGUUUCUUGAGCUGCUAGCUUUAUGGAACUGUAAAUGAAUCAUGACCUCUAUCUCCCUAGUAUUUAAUCAAGAGAUAACACAGCAUUUCCAGUGGUCUUAUCCCUUCCUAAAGAUUCAAACUUCCCUCUGACAAUAUUUCACUUUAGCCAAUAUUUCACUUUAUUUUUAACAUGUCUUUUGUAGAAUAGGUAUGCUGGAAAUAAAUUCUUAUAAUUUAUUCACCUUCAGUUUUGAAGGAUAAUUUAGCUGAUAUUGUAUUCUAGGUUGAACAUUUUUUUUUCCUAACAGUUUAUAGAUGUUCCACUCACUUCUGACUGCCAAAGUUUCUUUUUUCUUUUGCCAGUUUCUAAUGAAAAGUCCACAAUAAUGCAAAUGGUUGUUCUCCUACAUAUAAUGCAUUGUUUUACAACAUGACUGUUUUCUUCAUAUUCAUCCUGUUUGGGGUUCAUGAAAUUAUUGAAUCUAUAAAUUUAUAUCUUUGGAAAAAAACUUUAAAGGUUUUAAAUAAUUAUUUCUUCAAAUGUUUCUUCUAACCCAUUCCUUCUUUCUCCUAUUCCUAGGAUUCCAAUUAUGUUUUUAUUAUGCAUUUUGAUAGUUUUCCACAAGUCUCUUUAAAAAAUCUUUGGGGCUUGUGUUGUGGAGCAGCGCCUAUGACACCGGCAUCCCACAUGAGCACCAGUUUGAGUCUCGGUUGCUUCACUUCUGAUCUAGCUCCAAGAUAACACACCCAGGAAAGCAGUGGAAGAUGAAUCAAGUACUUGGGUCCCUGUCACCCAAUGGGAGACCUGAAUGCCGUUCCAGGCUCCUGCCUUCAGCCUUGUCUAGCCCUGCUAUUGUGGCCAUCUGGGGAGUGAACCAGUGGAUGGAAGAUCUGUCUUUCUAUUACUCUCUGUAAAUCUGUGUUUCAAAUAAAGAAAUUUUUUUAAAAAAAA
This is a non-coding RNA of Oryctolagus cuniculus (rabbit), 4375 nucleotides long. NCBI's taxonomy places the organism in Eukaryota, Metazoa, Chordata, Mammalia, Lagomorpha, Leporidae. The record is from RefSeq and is a predicted model, not a curated record.